RNAcentral lists this transfer RNA (82 nucleotides) under Nitrososphaerota archaeon. Its description in RNAcentral is "Thaumarchaeota archaeon tRNA-Ser". It matches the Rfam family "tRNA". From Rfam's summary of the family: Transfer RNA (tRNA) molecules are approximately 80 nucleotides in length. Their secondary structure includes four short double-helical elements and three loops (D, anti-codon, and T loops). Lineage: Archaea; Thermoproteati; Nitrososphaerota. The record is from RNAcentral. RNAcentral also lists the same sequence under 1 other name.
GCCAGGUUAGCCAAGUGGAACGGCGACCGCCUCGAGAGCGGUUAUGCGCAAGCAUGCAGGGGUUCGAAUCCCUUACCUGGCG